This 69-nucleotide transfer RNA is filed under the name Bavayia septuiclavis. RNAcentral describes it as "tRNA-Ala". Lineage: Eukaryota; Metazoa; Chordata; Lepidosauria; Squamata; Diplodactylidae. The record is from RNAcentral.
GAGGUCUUAGCUUAAUUAAASYGUUUGGGUUGCAUUCAGGAGAUGUAUAUUAGAAUUAUACAGGCCUUC